UCCGUAGGGAGCAAGCGUUGUUCGGAUUUACUGGGCGUAAAGGGCGCGUAGGCGGCGCGGUAAGUCACUUGUGAAAUCUCUGAGCUUAACUCAGAACGGCCAAGUGAUACUGCAGUGCUAGAGUGCAGAAAGGGCAAUCGGAAUUCUUGGUGUAGCGGUGAAAUGCGUAGAUAUCAAGAGGAACACCUGAGGCGAAGGCGGGUUGCUAGGCUGACACUGACGCUGAGGAACGAAAGCUAGGGGAGCAAACAGG
RNAcentral lists this ribosomal RNA (253 nucleotides) under uncultured bacterium. RNAcentral's name for it is "partial 16S ribosomal RNA". It matches the Rfam family "Bacterial small subunit ribosomal RNA", at positions 524 to 776 of the family's 1533-position model. The record is from RNAcentral.